CGAUUGGGUAGCCGGCCUGAGAGGGCGACCGGCCACACUGGGACUGAGACACGGCCCAGACUCCUACGGGAGGCAGCAGUGGGGAAUAUUGCACAAUGGGCGCAAGCCUGAUGCAGCGACGCCGCGUGAGGGAUGACGGCCUUCGGGUUGUAAACCUCUUUCAGCAGGGAAGAAGCGCAAGUGACGGUACCUGCAGAAGAAGCGCCGGCUAACUACGUGCCAGCAGCCGCGGUAAUACGUAGGGCGCAAGCGUUGUCCGGAAUUAUUGGGCGUAAAGAGCUCGUAGGCGGUCUGUCGCGUCUGGUGUGAAAUCCCGAGGCUCAACCUCGGGCUUGCAUCGGGUACGGGCAGACUAGAGUGCGGUAGGGGAGACGGGAAUUCCUGGUGUAGCGGUGGAACGCGCAGAUAUCAGGAGGAACACCGAUGGCGAAGGCAGGUCUCUGGGCCGCAACUGACGCUGAGGAGCGAAAGCAUGGGGAGCGAACAGGAUUAGAUACCCUGGUAGUCCAUGCCGUAAACGUUGGGCACUAGGUGUGGGGCUCAUUCCACGAGUUCCGUGCCGCAGCUAACGCAUUAAGUGCCCCGCCUGGGAGUACGGCCGCAAGGCUAAAACUCAAAGGAAUUGACGGGGGCCCGCACAAGCGGCGGAGCAUGCGGAUUAAUUCGAUGCAACGCGAAGAACCUUACCAAGGCUUGACAUGCACCGGAAACACUCAGAGAUGGGUGCCCCGUAAGGUCGGUGCACAGG
RNAcentral lists this ribosomal RNA (748 nucleotides) under uncultured Actinomycetes bacterium. Its description in RNAcentral is "bacterial SSU rRNA". It matches the Rfam family "Bacterial small subunit ribosomal RNA", at positions 277 to 1038 of the family's 1533-position model. The record is from RNAcentral. Lineage: Bacteria; Bacillati; Actinomycetota; Actinomycetes.